This 656-nucleotide long non-coding RNA is filed under the name Homo sapiens (human). RNAcentral describes it as "HSALNT0033411". Lineage: Eukaryota; Metazoa; Chordata; Mammalia; Primates; Hominidae. The record is from RNAcentral.
GAAUCUCUGGCUGCAGCUCAGAGAAAACAGAAAGGCAUCGGUAAUAGAAAAAUCUGGAAACAUGUUCUAGUUCUGGGCAAUUAUCCUACAAAUCCUGCCAGGCGCAGUAAGAUUGAGGAGCUAAAAACAGACUUGGGUGGAUGUCUGCAGCUGCAAGAAGAUGUGUGGGAACAGACACAGAAACUCUCCCUCCCAGAUAAGCAAGACAAAGAAACACAGAAUAAGAGUCCAUCUAUGUGGUCAGAGAAUGGGAUAAGAGCUGAUUUAAAAAAACUCUGCUCUAUAUAGAAGGCACACCUGGUCCCAACCAAACCACUGGACCCUAGGAGGAUAAGACCUCCUCUGCUCAUGAGCCCCCUCCUCAGUAGCCCAUUUAUAAAAACCCUGACAAUUUUACUACCACUUGGCAACCCGCUCGGGACCCCUCUCUGUGAUGGAGAGCUGUUCUUUUCUUUUGCCUAUUAAACUCCUGCUCCAAACUCACUGUGUGUGUGUCUGUCUGCAACCUCAAUCUCCUUGGCCAUGACACCAAAAACCUUAGUAUUUACCCCAGACAACAAGGCUGCUUCACCAGCCUUCUCACAUUAAAUUCCACACAUUGCAUGUCGGUGCUGUCACAGCUGUGUCUAUCACCACAGCAACAAGCAGACGGACUC